UACAGAGGGUGCAAGCGUUAAUCGGAAUUACUGGGCGUAAAGCGUGCGUAGACGGUUCUGUAAGUCGGAUGUGAAAUCCCCGGGCUCAACCUGGGAAUUGCAUUCGAAACUGCCGAGCUAGGGUGCGGUAGAGGGAAGCGGAAUUUCCGGUGUAGCGGUGAAAUGCGUAGAUAUCGGAAGGAACAUCAGUGGCGAAAGCGGCUUCCUGGACCAGCACCGACGUUCAGGCACGAAAGCGUGGGGAGCAAACAGG
Molecule: ribosomal RNA, 253 nt
Filed under: uncultured bacterium
Lineage: Bacteria
Description: partial 16S ribosomal RNA
Rfam family: Bacterial small subunit ribosomal RNA
Source: RNAcentral